GAAAAGAAAAAUGAGGAAAUUAGGGUUUACACCCUUUAUAUACCUCUCAAAUCCGGGUCGACCCGCCAGGCUUAACCCAUGACCCGCUCCGUCUCUAUCUAGGCCCAAACCUGUUUUUUACUUUCUGCACACCCCAUAAUACUGCUACACCUCCUACCUUGUGAUUGAACCUUUUAUUUAUUUCUUUCAAGUCUUGCAUACAUUUUAUUUAUCGUUUAGCAUUGUAAUUAUUAAUUUAUGUUCUCUCAUGCAUGUUAGAAUGUAAAUUAGGCCUUGAUGUAAAUAAUUUAUUUACUUUUUCUUGUCAUUUAUUUUUUUGCAGACCUUAGAAUGUAAAUAGGUUUUUUUGUAAUAGUUUAGGUGCAUGUGUGCGUGUGUGGGUGUAUGCUCUACUUUUCUGCUUAGGUUAUUACGUUUUAUUUUCUUGCUCCGUUAGUUUAGCAAUUAUUCAAAAAAUAACAAAAACAUGCAAAUAACCAAAAAAUCAUAAAAAUACUUUUUUUAUAAUAAACCUUGAUCCUAAAUCAAGUGAUCGUCCUUUUUAUUUUAUUUUCUUAAUCAAAUAUCAAUCAAUUUAACUAUACUUUGAGUCUAUUUUCAUUUAAAUUAAAAAACACAAAUCCAUUCCUAUUUUGCCACUUGGCUUUUAUUUUUAAAACCUUUUUCAAAACUAAUAAAAAACACAAAACCAAUCAAACGUCAAUUUCUACCCCGAACUACGAGGUUUUGAUCCUUCACGGGUACGUAGGCAGAGGACCAUGUCCUUUCAAACAAUAAAAAAUGUAGAUAAAUUAGGUCUCACCUUAUUUUCUUUUUCAUCACAUUAAUUCCUUCUUUUCAAAAGCAAGCAAGUUAUAGCACAUUGAAUUAAAUAAAACCAAGAGGUUCCCGUAGAGUACUACGGACAUAAAGGGUGCUAACACCUUCCUUUUAUGUAACUAACCCCCGAACCCAAAAUCUUUUCAAAAUGGGGUAGUUUGAACUUUUUUCCCCUUUUCUUAAUAAAAUUAAAUGUUCAGUCGUGAAAUAAAUUAGCGAGUCAAAAGCUAAUCAAAUAGCCUUGAUCUCCAAAAAAUGACGCGACAAUUCUGAAAAGAUCAGAACCUGUUCAUCAGAAUCUGAUUAAACCAGAAUCUAAAAUCCCAAAACAAAAGGAUCAGAAGAACAAAGCAGCUACUGCUUCUGAGAAAACAAUACCAAAAGGUGUCAAACCUAAAGUAUUGAAUGAUCAGAAGCCACUCAGCAUUCACCCUAAGGUACAAGGGAGGAAAAGUAAAACCUCCAAAACUAACCCAAAAGGACCCAUGAAGAUAUGGGUACCUAAAUCUGAAUUGGCCAAAAAUGCAGGUGUGCUUAAGGGCAAGAGAGAAACAAAGGUCAUGGUACCUAGACAGCGGAUGUUCAAGGCACAUGACUGGAGAGAAAGCUUUGUUCCUUACCCUUACAAUGAAAGAUGGAGGAGAAGUGAAGUUUGGUGGCAACCAAACUGGAAAGAUCAUUGGUACAGGUACUAUUGGUAAUUCCUCCAUCUCAAUUAAUAAUGUGUGGCUAGUAGAUGGUCUGAAGCAUAACCUAUUGAGCAUUAGUCAAUUUUGUGACAAUGGGUAUGAUGUAACGUUCAGUAAGACCAACUGCACACUAGUCAACAAGGAUGACAAAUCCAUUACAUUCAAGGGAAAGAGAGUUGAGAAUGUCUAUAAAAUAAAUUUCUCUGAUCUGGCUGAUCAGAAGGUAGUUUGCCUUCUGUCAAUGAAUGAUAAAAAAUGGGUAUGGCAUAAAAGGUUGGGACAUGCUAAUUGGAGAUUAAUUUCUAAAAUUAGCAAGUUACAACUGGUCAAAGGAUUGCCUAACAUUGAUUAUCAUUCAGAUGCACUUUGUGGUGCAUGUCAGAAAGGGAAAAUUGUGAAAAGUUCUUUCAAAUCUAAAGACAUUGUAUCAACCUCCAGACCCUUAGAAUUACUCCAUAUUGAUCUUUUUGGUCCAGUUAACACUGCAUCUUUAUAUGGAAGUAAAUAUGGAUUAGUCAUUGUUGAUGAUUACAGCAGAUGGACUUGGGUAAAAUUCAUUAAAAGUAAAGACUAUGCAUGUGAAGUGUUUAGCAGCUUCUGCACUCAAAUACAAUCUGAAAAAGAAUUGAAUAUUUUGAAAGUCAGAAGUGAUCAUGGUGGAGAAUUUGAAAAUGAGCCAUUUGAACUUUUUUGUGAAAAACAUGGGAUUCUCCAUGAGUUUUCCUCUCCUAGAACUCCACAACAAAAUGGGGUUGUAGAGAGAAAGAACAGAACAUUACAAGAAAUGGCCAGAACCAUGAUCCAUGAAAACAACUUAGCUAAACAUUUUUGGGCAGAAGCAGUCAAUACUUCAUGUUAUAUUCAAAAUAGGAUCUAUAUCAGACCUAUGUUGGAGAAAACAGCAUAUGAACUCUUUAAAGGAAGAAGACCCAAUAUCUCUUACUUUCAUCAGUUUGGAUGUACUUGUUACAUCUUAAACACUAAAGACUAUCUGAAGAAAUUUGAUGCCAAGGCUCAAAGAGGAAUCUUUUUAGGUUACUCUGAAAGGUCAAAGGCAUACAGAGUGUAUAAUUCAGAAACACAAUGUGUUGAAGAAUCUAUGCAUGUAAAAUUUGAUGAUAGAGAGCCUGGAAGUAAAACUUCAGAGCAAAGUGAAAGUAAUGCAGGUACAACUGAUUCUGAAGAUGCAUCAGAAUCUGAUCAACCUUCUGAUUCUGAAAAGUAUACAGAAGUUGAAUCUAGUCCAGAAGCUGAAAUCACUCCAGAAGCUGAGUCUAAUUCAGAAGCAGAACCUAGCCCAAAAGUACAGAAUGAAAGUGCUUCUGAGGACUGUCAAGAUAACACUCAGCAGGUUAUUCAACCUAAAUUCAAGCACAAAUCUUCACAUCCUGAGGAGCUAAUGAUUGGAAGCAAAGAUAGUCCUAGAAGAACAAGAUCACAUUUUAGACAAGAAGAGUCAUUAAUAGGACUGCUUUCAAUAAUUGAGCCUAAAACUGUUGAAGAAGCUCUCUCAGAUGAUGGAUGGAUAUUAGCUAUGCAAGAAGAGCUAAAUCAAUUCCAAAGGAAUGAUGUGUGGGAUCUGGUACCCAAACCUUUUCAGAAGAACAUUAUUGGAACAAAAUGGGUAUUCAGAAACAAACUGAAUGAACAAGGAGAAGUAACCAGAAACAAAGCCAGACUUGUUGCUCAAGGCUACAGUCAACAAGAAGGCAUUGAUUACACUGAAACAUUUGCUCCAGUUGCAAGAUUGGAAGCAAUCAGGUUACUUCUAUCCUACGCAAUUAAUCAUGGCAUAAUAUUAUAUCAAAUGGAUGUCAAAAGUGCCUUUCUUAAUGGUGUCAUUGAAGAAGAAGUGUAUGUUAAACAACCUCCUGGGUUUGAGGAUCUUAAGCAUCCUGACCAUGUUUAUAAACUUAAGAAAUCACUAUAUGGCUUGAAACAAGCUCCCAGAGCUUGGUAUGAUAGACUAAGUAAUUUCUUAAUUAAAAAUGAUUUUGAAAGAGGACAAGUUGACACAACACUCUUCAGAAGGACUCUUAAGAAAGAUAUUUUGAUUGUGCAAAUAUAUGUUGAUGAUAUAAUAUUUGGUUCUACUAAUGCAUCUCUUUGCAAAGAAUUUUCUAAGUUAAUGCAGGAUGAAUUUGAAAUGAGUAUGAUGGGAGAACUGAAAUUCUUUCUUGGAAUUCAAAUCAACCAAAGUAAAGAAGGAGUAUAUGUUCAUCAAACAAAAUAUACAAAGGAGCUUCUGAAGAAGUUCAAGCUAGAAGAUUGUAAAGUGAUGAACACUCCAAUGCAUCCAACCUGCACCUUAAGCAAAGAAGAUACUGGAACAGUAGUAGACCAGAAGCUAUACAGAGGUAUGAUUGGUUCUCUGUUAUACCUCACUGCAUCUAGACCUGAUAUUUUAUUCAGUGUAUGCUUGUGUGCAAGAUUUCAAUCAGAUCCUAGAGAAUCUCAUUUAACUGCAGUUAAGAGAAUCUUCAGGUAUUUGAAAGGAACAACUAAUCUUGGACUCCUGUAUAGGAAAUCCCUAGAUUAUAAGUUGAUUGGAUUCUGUGAUGCUGAUUAUGCUGGUGAUAGGAUUGAAAGAAAAUCAACCAGUGGAAAUUGUCAAUUCCUGGGAGAGAAUCUGAUAUCUUGGGCAAGCAAAAGACAAGCAACUAUUGCUAUGUCUACAGCAGAAGCAGAAUACAUUUCAGCUGCAAGUUGUUGCACACAACUACUUUGGAUGAAACAUCAGUUGGAAGACUAUCAGAUUAAUGCUAACAGUAUUCCCAUUUACUGUGAUAAUACUGCUGCUAUUUGUUUGUCAAAGAAUCCAAUUCUACAUUCAAGAGCCAAGCAUAUUGAAAUCAAACACCAUUUUAUCAGAGACUAUGUUCAAAAAGGGAUUUUAGAUAUACAAUUCAUUGAUACUGAACAUCAAUGGGCUGAUAUAUUUACAAAACCUUUGUCUGUUGAAAGAUUUGAUUUUAUUAAGAAAAAUUUGAACAUGCAUUUUGUGUCUGAUUGAAAAAUUGCUUGCCUCUGAAUAAGAAGUUUGGUUCUGAAGUUUAUUCAGAAGCAUUUGGUUCAUCAGAAGCUCUUAACUGAGGUUCUGAGGAAAAUGUGCUUCUGAAGAUGACGUCAGCACUAAAACUUCAGAAGUGUUAUUCUUUGCUUCUGAAUAGCUUGGUUAGUGGGAACGUUGGUAGUUACUUUAUGUAACAGCUGUCCCAUUACCCAAAAGGUAGUUUUCUGAAGAGUCUCUGACGUGGUCUAUUUGUAUUGGAGUAUAACAAAAAAAGGGCAAUGAUGUUUUAUUCGCUUUUUAACAUACUUACACGCGCCCCCAAUUUGUCAUUAAUGCUGUGUUUGUUUGUCCCUUCUGAAUUGCAAACUGUCAUACCCCAAAUUUUGACCAAAGGUCCCACUGACACACGUCUUCGAACUCGAACCAGACUCACAUUUCAGUGAAAAAUUCGGCAGGGAGGUAUUUUAAAAUACCUCAUUUUGUUUCCGAGUCGGGCCCUCUUCUCUCAGUCUUUAAUUAUUUAUUUCCAUCUUUCAAAUUUUUAGUUUAGAAUUCUAAUUUUAAUUUUUAGUCCAAGAUUAGAUUAAAUUUCUUUUAGUCCCAUUUUAAAUUUUUCUUUUUUAUUUAAAACCAAAAAUGUAGAUAUUAUCCUUUUAUUAUUAAUUUUUUUCUUUUUUUAAUUAAGUCCCAAAAUUGUCCAAAGCCUCAAAAAUGUCCAAAACAGUCCAAGUUCACGCGCAUCAAACACAAACCGUCUUCCUUCAUUCAUCCUCAUCCAAUUUACACAGCCUGUCACACAGAGGCAGUCCCAAUCCAAUUCACGCGCAUCAGUCACAAGUUCAGGAACGGAAAUACCUUUUUCUUCUCCUCAAGCCACAGCUUUUAUGCUCGUAUUUAACAAACCCUGGCCUCAACCUCACUCUAUAAAUAGAGACCUGCACAACACAAAGAAAACACGAAAAAAAACACAGAGAGAGGCGCGCAACACAACAAACACACACGCACAGGAAGCCAUACCACAACACAGAGAGAGGCGCGCAACACAACAAACACACACGCACAGGAAGCAACACCACAACAACAGAUCAAGCACAACUCGACGUGCACACGGAACCAGACACAUACACUACAUCGCAAGCCAGCACCAUAAAUAGAGCCGGAUUCACAAGAGAAAAAGAGGUAGUACUUUCUUUUACCUUUAGAUCUAGGUCUCUGUGUGUACGUUUUCGAAAAUCUAGGUCUAGAACUGAAGAAAGAAAAGGGAGUAGGAGAAGAUAAGCGAAAAAAAAAUGCAAAAAAAAUUAAAUUAGGGUUCCGGCGUGGUGGCGCCGCCGCACUGGCCGGCCAACCACCGCCGGAACCACCAUCCCACCGUCGGAGAAGAAGAGGGAAGAGAGAGGACAGAGAGCUAGAGAGAGAAGGAGGCGGAAGAGAGAGAAGGAGGAAAAGAAAAAUGAGGAAAUUAGGGUUUACACCCUUUAUAUACCUCUCAAAUCCGGGUCGACCCGCCAGGCUUAACCCAUGACCCGCUCCGUCUCUAUCUAGGCCCAAACCUGUUUUUUACUUUCUGCACACCCCAUAAUACUGCUACACCUCCCACCUUGUGAUUGAACCUUUUAUUUAUUUCUUUCAAGUCUUGCAUACAUUUUAUUUAUCGUUUAGCAUUGUAAUUAUUAAUUUAUGUUCUCUCAUGCAUGUUAGAAUGUAAAUUAGGCCUUGAUGUAAAUAAUUUAUUUACUUUUUCUUGUCAUUUAUUUUUUUGCAGACCUUAGAAUGUAAAUAGGUUUUUUUGUAAUAGUUUAGGUGCAUGUGUGCGUGUGUGGGUGUAUGCUAUACUUUUCUGCUUAGGUUAUUACGUUUUAUUUUCUUGCUCCGUUAGUUUAGCAAUUAUUCAAAAAAUAACAAAAACAUGCAAAUAACCAAAAAAUCAUAAAAAUACUUUUUUAUAAUAAACCUUGAUCCUAAAUCAAGUGAUCGUCCUUUUUAUUUUAUUUUCUUAAUCAAAUAUCAAUCAAUUUAACUAUACUUUGAGUCUAUUUUCAUUUAAAUUAAAAAACACAAAUCCAUUCCUAUUUUGCCACUUGGCUUUUAUUUUUAAAACCUUUUUCAAAACUAAUAAAAAACACAAAACCAAUCAAACGUCAAUUUCUACCCCGAACUACGAGGUUUUGAUCCUUCACGGGUACGUAGGCAGAGGACCAUGUCCUUUCAAACAAUAAAAAAUGUAGAUAAAUUAGGUCUCACCUUAUUUUCUUUUUCAUCACAUUAAUUCCUUCUUUUCAAAAGCAAGCAAGUUAUAGCACAUUGAAUUAAAUAAAACCAAGAGGUUCCCGUAGAGUACUACGGACAUAAAGGGUGCUAACACCUUCCUUUUAUGUAACUAACCCCCGAACCCAAAAUCUUUUCAAAAUGGGGUAGUUUGAACUUUUUUCCCCUUUUCUUAAUAAAAUUAAAUGUUCAGUCGUGAAAUAAAUUAGCGAGUCAAAAGCUAAUCAAAUAGCCUUGAUCUCCAAAAAAUGACGCGACAGAAAUGGCGACUUCACUGGGGAUCCCCUAAGAGGGUUGAGCCUAACUUGGCUUUAUUUAAUUUUUUGUGCUAUAUCUUGCUUAAAACAAAAAUAAAAAUAAAGAUGGAAAUAAUUGUACAUAUCUUUUAUCUUCUCUUUUCUCUCUUUCUUCCCUUCUUCUUAAAUAUGAGUGGUGAGAUAAAGCCCUACACCCGGGCUUGAGAGAAACAUAAGAUAGGACGGUGGUAUAACCAAAGUGCCUUUCCGAGAGUCAAGUCUCGUGUUUAGGUUCAUGUGGUACAACCCCACUCAAUGGAGGGAUCUUGAAAGUAAUUUGUGUUGGCAUGAAUAGUCGUGUUGGCACUAUAUUUUCAAGUGACCGUCGAAGUUGAGGACCUUUAGUUACCCUUAACCCAUCUUAGCCUUUUAGGACGUAGUGCGGUGGCUAAUCAAGAGUAGUCUUGAAUUAGUUGAUACGCGAUACUACACUCAAAUGAAACUUUCCUACGGAUAUUAUUGGAUCAAGAGUAGUCUUGUAACCUGAUAACAUUCGGAGGUAGUUGAUGACUUUGGGAACUGGAUAGAACCCGUGAUACAGGUACAAAUAAAACCAUAGUCCUUACCAAAUGGGGGUUAUUACCUUUAAACUCCAACAUGGUGAGCUUAACCUAUGCAUAAUCAUGCAUACAUGCAUUCAUUCAUAAUUUCAUCUUUUUUUUCAUCAAAAAUAUCGAAGGACUUAUACUGUUUUUGCAAAUAUCAUAGGCAUGGAAAGAAGAAAUACUAGGAAGUUUACAUUCAGGAAAUUGGAUCUAGAGAACUUAAAGAAGCUUGCAUUUGAAGUAACUAGCUUGGAGAACUUUUGUGAUCGUCAUGGGAAGUUGCUUGGUGUCCUCUGGACAAAUAUCGAUAAGGGGUGCUUGGAGACCUUGGUCCAGUUCUAUGACCCUGCUUACCACUGUUUCACCUUUCCCGACUACCAGCUUAUGCCUACCCUCGAAGAAUACUCCCACUUAAUUGGCCUACCCGUACUUGAUAAGGUACCUUUUACUGGCUUAGAACCCUUUCCCAAAGCUGCCACUAUUGCAAACGCCCUCCACCUCAAAACCUCUCUCAUAAAAGAAAAACUCACCCUAAAGGGGAAUCUCCCAAGCUUACCUACUAAAUUUCUUUACCAACAAGCCUCCGAUUUUUCCAAAACAAACAAUGUUGAGGCCUUCUACUCUAUCCUAGCUUUGCUCAUCUAUGGCCUAGUAUUGUUCCCAAAUAUUGAUAACUAUGUUGACAUCCAUGCCAUUCAAAUUUUCCUCACAAAGAACCCAGUCCCCACAUUGUUAGCUGAUAUAUAUCAUUCCAUUCACGAUCGAACCCAAGUAGGUCGUGGAGCUAUCCUUGGUUGCGCACCUUUACUAUACAAAUGGUUUGCCUCCCACUUACCUCAGACUCAUUCCUUUCAAGCCAACCCAGAAAAUCUCUCCUGGCCCAAAAGAAUCAUGUCCCUUACCCCAUCCGACAUAACCUGGUACCGUGCCGCUUGUAACUUCACGAACAUCAUUGUCAGUUGUGGAGAAUACUCAAAUGUACCCCUUCUCGGUACGCAAGGAGGAAUCAGCUACAAUCCUAUCCUUGCCAAACGUCAGUUCGGAUGUCCAAUGGAAGCUAAGCCAGAUAAUAUCUACUUACAGGGUGAAUUCUACUUCAACCAUGAAGAUCCUUCAAACAAAAGAGGGAGAUUUGUCCAAGCAUGGUAUGCCAUUCGCACACUCAAUAGAAGCCAAUUGGCGAGGAGAUCAGACUCUUUACAGGGGUCUUACACUCAAUGGGUCAUCAAUAGAGCUUCCGAUCUGGUCUUACCAUAUCAUUUGCCGAGGUACCUAUCUUCAACAACCCCAGCGCCGGCUUUACCCUUGGCCCCCGCAACUGUGGAGGAAUGUCAAGAGAAGUUGGCCCGAUCAGAAUAUGUGGGUGCUACUUGGAAAAGGAGGUAUGAUGAAGCUAUGCUCAAGAUGGAAACUAUGAGUGGUGAGAUAGAGCAACGAGGGCAUGAGGUUCACAAGUUGAGACGACAAAUAGUAAAAAAGAAUGUUCAGAUCCGAGCUCAGAGCACAAGGCUAUCACAAUUUAUCAGCGCAGGGGAGCGUUGGGAGUUCUUCAAGGAUGCACAUUCAGAUUCUGAUGAAUAGUCUACUUCAAAGAGCUCGAGAGUUCCCAGUUUUUCUUUUAUUUUUGUUCUUAGCUUUAAGUUAGAUAUUUAUCUUAUUUUAUUUUUGCAAAGUCUAUCCCUUGGCUUCGUUGUUUAGAAAGGGAAUUAUCUCGUAGUAUGUAAAUUAUCCAAUGGAACUCUCAACUAUGAUAUUUACAAAAAUACUUUCCAUAAGUCCUUCGAUAAAAAAUACGUCUAUAUUUUUGCAUAAACAUCAUGCAUCAUCCUGCAUUUCAUAGUCUCAAGUCAAAGUCUCACACAAACUUUCUUUUCCAGAGAGAAAAAGGUCAACUCGUUUCAAAAGGUGGCCCCACGUGUCAUCUACAAGUCAACCCGUACUCACUACACUCGAGCAAACGUAAAGAAGAAGAUGGAUUAUCUUGAGCAAGAAAAUCGGGUACUUCGUGAAGAAAUGACAGCCAUGCAGACUAAGAUGGACGAGAUGGCUGAAUUAAUAAAAACAAUGGCGGAAGCUCAGACUCAAGCUCAAGUACAGAUUCAGGCACAAGCGCAAGCAUUGGCACAAGCGCAAACUCAAGCUCAGGCCCUAACAGAGGCGCAGGCCCGAUCACAAGCACCUCCACUUCCUCCUCCUGUCAGAACUCAGGCCGAGGCAUCUUCUUCUUGGACACUAUGUGCUGACACUCCAACGCAGUCCGCUCCGCAACGUUCCACGCCUUGGUUUCCACCUUUCACUGCUGGGGAGAUAUUUCGUCCUAUCACUUGUGAAGCUCAGAUGCCCACUCACCAGUACACGGCUCAAGUACCCCUACCUGCCAUGAGGGUCACUCCAGCCACCAUGACCUACUCAGCACCUGUGAUACAUACAAUUCCGCAAACUGAAGAGCCUAUCUUUCAUUCAGGGAAUGCAGAGGCUUACGAGGGAGUAAGCGACCUACGAGAAAAGUAUGAUGAACUACGCCGAGACAUGAAAGCUCUCCAUGAAAAAGGGAAAUUUGGGAAGACUGCGUACGAUCUCUGUUUGGUACCAAGUGUGCAGGUGCCUCACAAAUUCAAGAUCCCAGAUUUCGAGAAAUACAAAGGGAGUUCUUGCCCUGAGGAACAUCUAAAAAUGUAUGUGAGAAGGAUGCCUGCGUAUGCCCAAGAUGAUCAGAUUCUUAUCUACUACUUCCAAGAAAGCUUGACUGGCCCUGCUUCAAAGUGGUACACAAACCUAGAAAAAACAAGGGUUCAAACUUUCCGUGACCUUUGUGAAGCUUUUGUGGAACAGUACAGUUACAAUGUAGACAUGACUCCGGACCGAAGUGAUCUCCAAGCCAUGACUCAGGGAGAUAAAGAGACGUUCAAAGAGUACGCCCAACGGUGGAGAGACACCGCUGCCCAAGUCAGCCCACGCAUUGAGGAGAAAGAGAUGACCAAGCUCUUCCUAAAAACUCUGAAUCAUUUUUAUUACAAAAAGAUGGUCGGGAGUACACCAAAGAGCUUCGCGGAGAUGGUUGGUAUGGGAGUACAGUUAGAAGAAGGAGUCCGAGAAGGACGCUUAGUAAAGAAUGCAACUCCUGCCAGUGGGACCAAGAAGACCGGGAACCAUUUCCCGAGGAAGAAAGAGCAAGAAGUCGGUAUGGUGACUCAUGGAAGGCCUCAACAAACUUAUCCAGCCUAUCAACACAUUGCUGCCAUCACACCCACCUCUCACCCUUUUCAACAAACAAAUAACCAUCCUCACUUACCGCAAUAUCCUCAGAUACCACAAUAUCCUCAAAUACCACAAUAUCCUCAAUUCCCACAAAAUCCUUCACCACAAAAUACACAACAACCAUACCAACAACAACCAUACCAACAAUACCCAUACCAACAAUACCCUCAACAAAAUUUCCAACAACAACCUUAUCAACAACGCCCACAACAACCUCGACCACCAAGAAUGCCGAUUAACCCAAUACCAGUCACCUAUGCAGAAUUACUUCCCGGCUUACUCAAGAAAAACCUUGUCCAAACUAGAACAGCUCCUCCGAUCCCAGAAAAACUACCAUCUUGGUAUAGACUUGACCAAACUUGUGACUUCCAUGAAGGGGGCCGUGGCCAUAACAUUGAAACUUGUUAUGCCUUUAAAAGCACAGUGCAGAGGUUGAUCAAUGAUGGAAAAAUAACUUUCACAGACUCGGCGCCAAAUACUCAAACAAACCCAUUGCCGAAUCAUGGUGCCGCAACAGUCAACAUGAUCGAAGAUUGUCAAAAGACUCGUCCCAUUCUGAAUGUUCAACAUAUCAGGACACCCUUGGUCCCGUUACAUGCCAAGUUAUGCAAAGUCAACCUUUUUGAGCAUAAUCAUGAUCUCUGUGAAAUAUGCCUUAUGAACUCCGGAGGAUGUCAGAAAGUAAGAAAUGAUAUUCAAGGGCUUCUAGACCGAGGAGAGCUUGUGGUCGAAAGGAAGUGUGAUGAUGUGUGUGUAAUAACUCCCGAAGGGCCUUUGGAGGUAUUUUAUGACAGUCGAAAGUCAACUAUCACCCCUCUGGUGAUCUGCUUACCGGGUCCACUACCAUAUGCUUCUGAAAAAGCCAUUCCAUACAAAUACAAUGCCACCAUGAUUGAAGAGGGUCAUGAGGUUCCAAUACCGCCUUUGUCUAGUGUGGAUAAUAUUGUUGAAGACAGUAGAGUUCUGAGAAAUGGGCGCGUUGUUCCCAUAGUGUUCCCAAAGAAGAUUGGUGCUACAGUAAACAAGGAGGUUCGGACUAAAGAUGCUGGUAUCGCCAAAGAAGUGGAUCAACCCAAAGAGGCUGGUACAAGUGCAGAGUUUGAUGAGAUUCUCAAGUUAAUAAAGAAGAGCGAGUACAGGGUUGUUGACCAACUGAUGCAGACCCCAUCCAAAAUAUCCAUAAUGUCUUUAUUACUAAAUUCUGAGGCCUAUAAAGAUGCAUUAAUGAAGGUCUUAGAACAAGCUUUUGUGGAUUAUGAUGUAACGGUGGGUCAGUUUGGCGGAAUAGUAGGGAACAUCACUGCAUGCAACAACUUGAGUUUCAGUGAUGAAGAGCUCCCAGCAGAAGGAAGGAACCAUAAUCGGGCGCUGCAUAUAUCUGUAAACUGUAAAACCGAUGCUUUGUCAAAUGUGCUGGUGGAUACUGGAUCAUCUUUGAAUGUGUUGUCCAAAACAACUUAUGCCCAACUCGCUUACCAAGGCGCACCUUUGAGACGAAGUGGGGUAAUGGUGAAAGCUUUUGAUGGCUCGAGGAAGGAUGUCCUUGGAGAGGUGGUUCUACCUAUCACAGUUGGGCCACAAGUUUUCCAAGUUAAUUUUCAAGUCAUGGACAUUCAAGCUUCGUAUAGUUGCCUACUGGGUCGACCCUGGAUUCACGAGGCAGGGGCUGUCACAUCCACGCUGCAUCAAAAGCUGAAGUUUGUGAAGAAUGGGAAGCUAGUAACUGUAAACGGUGAAGAGGCUUUAUUGGUGAGUCAUCUGUCAUCUUUCUCUUUCAUUGGGGCAGACGAUGUCGAAGGGACACCUUUUCAAGGGUUUACUAUAGAAGAUAAGAAUACCAAGAGGAAUGAAGCCUCUAUCUCGUCUCUAAGAGAUGCUCAGAAGGUCAUACAAGCAGGGGGGUCCACAAGCUGGGGAAAGCUGAUAGAGCUUCCAGAAAACAAGCACCGAGAAGGUUUGGGUUUCUUCCCAUCUACUAGUUUGUCCACAGCAAAGAAAGGCACUUUCCACAGUUCGGGCUUUAUCCAUGCAAUUAUUGAAGAUGAUCCUGAAAGUGUGCCACGAGGUUUUAUAACACCAGGAGUAUCCAGCCACAAUUGGGUUGCUGUAGAUGUUCCUUUUAUUGCUCACUUGUCCAAGUAAUGCAUUUGUCUAGUUUAUGCUUUUCUUUUCAAAAAAACAUCCUUUCGCCCCGCCCCAAGCGAAAGUGAACUUAUCUAGGGCUUUUUAUUUCAAGAAACUAUCGUCAAUAAAAUAAAAAUGUCGUUUUUUUUUUCCCGAUGUUUUGUCUCAUUUUCUUUUAUGCUUUUCUGAAAAGUGGUAAUACAAAAAACCCAACAUAAAUUUUCAAAAAAUCUGCAUGUAUCUUUUUUUUUCCUAAAUAUCAUCCAUCACAUGUGCAGAUUAGAAAUCAACGAACCCGUUGAACAACAUAACCCUAUGAUCUCUCCCAACUUUGAGUUCCCUGUGUAUGAGGCGGAGGAAGAAGAGAAUGAAGAGAUCCCUGACGAAAUCUCUCGACUACUCGAACAAGAGAGGAAGACCAUUCAGCCUUAUGGGGACGAGCUAGAAGUGAUUAACUUGGGCACCAAAGAAGACAAGAAAGAAAUCAAGGUUGGGGCAUCGCUCGAAACAAGUGUUAAAAAGCAAGUGAUAGAGCUCCUCAAAGAAUAUGUUGAUGUGUUUGCCUGGUCCUACCAAGAUAUGCCGGGUCUAGACACUAAUAUUGUGGUGCAUCACCUACCUUUGAAACCUGAGUGUCCGCCAGUUAAACAAAAGUUGAGAAGAACACGUCCUGACAUGGCUCUCAAAAUCAAAGAAGAGGUACAGAAACAGAUCGACGCUGGUUUCCUCAUCACAUCAAAUUACCCCCAAUGGUUAGCUAACAUAGUGCCUGUUCCAAAGAAAGAUGGUAAGGUCAGAAUGUGUGUUGACUACCGUGAUUUAAACAAAGCUAGCCCGAAAGACGACUUUCCUUUACCUCAUAUUGACGUGUUGGUUGACAGUACUGCAAAGUCUAAAGUCUUCUCAUUCAUGGAUGGAUUCUCCGGUUAUAAUCAAAUCAAGAUGGCACCCGAAGAUAGAGAGAAAACAUCAUUUAUUACACCUUGGGGCACUUUUUGUUACAAAGUAAUGCCGUUCGGUUUAAUCAAUGCAGGAGCUACUUAUCAGAGGGGUAUGACUACUCUUUUCCACGAUAUGAUACAUAAAGAGAUUGAGGUCUAUGUGGAUGAUAUGAUAGUCAAGUCGAUUACUGAAGAAGACCAUGUCAAGUAUCUACAGAAGAUGUUCCAGCGCCUGAGGAGGUACAAACUUCGUCUAAAUCCCAACAAAUGCACUUUUGGUGUUAGAUCCGGAAAGCUUCUAGGCUUCAUCGUCAGCCAGAAAGGCAUCGAAGUAGAUCCUGACAAAGUCAAAGCCAUCAGAGAGAUGCCUGCUCCGAGAACAGAAAAAGAAGUGAGGGGUUUUCUUGGACGACUAAAUUACAUCUCCCGGUUCAUUUCUCAUAUGACUGCAACUUGUGGGCCGAUAUUCAAACUACUCCGCAAAGAACAAGGUAUUGUGUGGACCGAAGAUUGCCAGAAGGCUUUUGACAGCAUAAAAAAGUACUUGCUAGAACCACCGAUUCUCAUCCCUCCAGUUGAAGGAAGACCUUUGAUCAUGUACCUAACAGUGCUAGAAAAUUCCAUGGGUUGUGUGCUCGGACAACAAGAUGAAACCGGAAGAAAAGAGCACGCCAUUUAUUAUUUAAGCAAAAAGUUUACUGAAUGUGAAUCUCGCUACUCCAUGCUCGAGAAGACAUGUUGUGCUCUAGCCUGGGCUGCCAAACGCCUCCGUCAUUAUAUGAUUAAUCACACUACUUGGCUGGUAUCUAAAAUGGAUCCAAUCAAGUACAUAUUUGAGAAGCCCGCUUUGACAGGAAGGAUUGCACGGUGGCAGAUGCUACUAUCUGAAUAUGAUAUCGAGUACCGUUCCCUGAAGGCAAUUAAAGGCAGUAUUCUUGCUGAUCACUUAGCUCACCAACCACUUGAAGACUAUCGGCCUAUCAAGUUUGACUUUCCUGAUGAAGAGAUUAUGUAUCUAAAGAUGAAAGAUUGCGACGAGCCACUAUUCGGAGAAGGUCCUGAUCCAGAUUCAGUGUGGGGUUUGAUAUUUGAUGGGGCUGUCAAUGUAUACGGCAACGGCAUAGGGGCAGUACUCCUUACUCCUAAGGGUGCUCACAUCCCUUUCACAGCAAGACUCCGGUUUGACUGCACGAACAACAUCGCUGAAUAUGAAGCCUGCAUCAUGGGUAUUGAAGAAGCCAUUGAUCUAAGAAUCAAGAACAUCGAAAUAUAUGGAGAUUUAGCUCUUGUAAUCAACCAGAUCAAAGGAAAAUGGGAAACUCUUCACGCAGGACUGAUACCUUAUCGAGACUAUGCAAGACGUUUAUUGACUUUCUUCAACAAAGUGGAAUUACAUCAUAUCCCUCGGGAUGAGAAUCAGAUGGCUGAUGCCUUGGCUACUUUGUCUUCAAUGAUCAAGGUGAAUCAUCACAAUGACGUGCCACUAAUCAGUGUCAAAUUCCUUGAUAGACCCGCUUAUGUGUUUGCCGCUGAAGCAGUUUUCGACGAUAAACCUUGGUUUCAUGAUAUUAAGGUGUUUCUCCAAACUCGAGAGUAUCCUCCUGGAGCAUCCAACAAAGAUAAAAAGACUCUCAGAAGAUUAUCUAGUAAUUUCUUCCUGAAUGGGGAUAUCUUGUACAAAAGAAACUUUGACACAGUCUUGCUCAGAUGUGUAGACAAAUAUGAAGCUGAUUUAUUGAUACAUGAAAUACACGAAGGAUCCUUCGGAAUUCAUCCUAAUGGGCACACAAUGGCUAAAAAGAUAUUGCGAGCAGGCUACUACUGGAUGACAAUGGAAUCAGAUUGCUACAAGCAUACCAGAAAGUGUCACAAGUGUCAGAUAUACGCCGACAAGAUUCAUGUGCCGCCAACUACACUCAAUUUACUUUCCUCUCCGUGGCCUUUCUCUAUGUGGGGCAUCGACAUGAUCGGAAGGAUUGAACCCAAAGCUUCAAAUGGACACCGUUUCAUCCUAGUGGCUAUUGACUACUUCACUAAGUGGGUUGAGGCCGCAUCGUAUGCUAAUGUGACCAAGCAAGUGGUGGUCAAAUUUAUCAAGAAUCAUAUCAUUUGUCGUUAUGGCAUCCCCAACCGGAUCAUCACCGACAACGGAACAAAUCUAAACAACAAGAUGAUGAAAGAAUUGUGUGAUGAUUUCAAGAUCGAGCACCAUAACUAUUCACCUUACAGACCUCAAAUGAAUGGUGUCGUCGAAGCUGCAAAUAAGAAUAUAAAGAGGAUUGUCCAGAAGAUGGUGGUAACUUAUAAAGAUUGGCAUGAAAUGCUUCCCUUUGCAUUACAUGGAUAUCGUACUUCUGUACGCACAUCAACAGGUGCAACUCCUUUCUCCCUGGUAUAUGGCAUGGAGGCAGUACUUCCUGUAGAAGUCGAAAUUCCAUCAUUGAGAGUCCUAAUGGAGGCUGACUUAUCGGAAGCUGAAUGGGUUCAGAAUAGAUACGACCAGUUGAAUCUAAUUGAAGAAAAGCGCAUGACAGCCCUAUGUCACGGACAAUUAUAUCAAAAAAGGAUGAAACAGGCCUUUGACAAGAAAGUUCGCCCCCGUAAGUUUAAAGAAGGUGAUCUUGUGCUCAAAAAGAUUUUCUCUUUCCAACCAGACUCCCGAGGCAAGUGGGCUCCUAAUUAUGAAGGUCCGUAUGUUGUUAAAAAAGCCUUCUCAGGUGGUGCCAUGACUCUACAAACCAUGGACGGUGAAGAACUACCACGACCUGUGAACACGGAUGCAGUCAAGAAAUACUUUGUCUAAAAAUCUUAAAGAACAGCUCGGUAAGUCGAAAACCCGAAAAGGGCGGCUUAGGCAAAAAUGAGCAUCUCGGUGGACUGAAAACCCGAAAGGGCGGUCCAGGCAAAAAUUAGAGACAAUAAACAGAGAUCAUCAUCCUGAUAGAGUGAAAACCCGAAAGGGCAGUCUAUGCAAAAGUUAAGGAUUAAAAGAAAAAGACAAAGUAACUGCAUCCAGUCAAGCACAGAUACACUUGGGGCAUACCUGCUAUCAAAAGUAUUCGAGCCGCAAGAUAACGGAUUUCAAAGUUGUUAGAGAAGGAUAGGGUUAUGAAGUUCAACGUACCUUUCCCUUUUAAAUUACCAUUUCUUUUCAAACUUUGUAAAGAACUCCAUGAAGUCAUGCCAUUGGCAUAGCGUCAUUCGAUCAAUAAACUUUGAGCCUUUAUCUCUCUUUUGAUUCCUAUUUGUUUUGUUUCGCGAAUUUUUUUCCUCUUUUAUUGAUGAUAAUAUUUUGAAACAGAUUUCUAAAACAUUAUAAAAAGCAUAAACAAAUAGAUACAGCUUGGCACUCGGGAGUAAGAAAGGCAUAUACCAACUCAAGAGAGGUUAGAUCCUGCUAAAAGCGUGGCUCGACACUAAGGAAAGUCUCUGAAUAAACAAAUACAAAAAUAAGCAUCCCGGGGGACUAAGAGCCCGAAAAGGUAGUCCAAAUAAGGGUUAAGGACUUCUUCCAAAAGAGGCAUGACUGCCAAGGCAUAUCAAUGGAGCGACACUCUGUGCCGGCUUGCAAAUAGCGACUUCUUCUUCGAAAUUUGUUCACAAAAUUGUUGCGAAGAGUGUAGUACAAAAGUGCCAAUCCAUUUCCCACCUUACAUACCAUAUUCUGCCUCAUCGAGUUCCGUCUAUCACCUACAAAAGACAUGGUCGUCAAAAUCACGUUCAUACAUACACGCAUGCAUUCAUCACAUCAACGCUUCCAUGCACUCAUACAACCACAAACUCGUAACAAUCAUGCAUUUACUGAUAAUCAUGCAUUCGUGCGUACACAACAUACGCACGACAUUAAUUCAUACAUAAACUCAUCAAUCGAUUCGGCCAUAUCACUUCGGUUCAGUCUUAGUUUACCAUUGCGUCAAGCCGCAAGUUUCUACGAGUAAGACAUCUUCCAUUUCAAUUUCAAAUUUCAAAGGUGUCAUGCCCGGCAAAAACCGUGCUAAGUCAUGUCACUAAUCAAUGUCAAUUUCAACUUUAGUUUCGAAGUGUCAUCCCCGGCGGAAAGCCGUACUAGUCAUGGCGCUAGUUAAUCUUGAUGUCAACUUCAACUUUAAGUAUCAUCCCCAGCAUAGCUGUUCCAGAGAUGUCACCAAUCCAACUUUUCAAGUGACCAGUUCCAACGAACGAACAACUCAUGUCAAUCUUUUAUCUUUAUGCCCAGCGACCGAUUCCAACAAACGAAUAGCCUAUGUCAGUUUUUUUUCCUUUCGAGCAACCAGUUCCAACGAACGAACAACUCAUGUCAAUCUUUUAUCUUUAUGCCCAGCGACCGAUUCCAACAAACGAUUAGCUUAUGUCUACUUUCUUUCGAGUAACCAGUUCUAACCAACGAACAACUCACGUCGAUCUUUUAUCUUUAUGCCCAGCGACCAGUUCCAACCAACGAACAGCCUGCAACAAGUGGCCAAUUUCAACCAACAAAUAACUUGUAUCCUUCUAUUAUUUCAUUUUUAAAACCAAGUCCACAAAUGGACAUUGGAGUCUGAACCAUUGCACUUUGUUUCGAGACAUCGAGACGAUGAGGAACAACCAUUUUCCCCAGUGAAACCAGAUUCCCCAGUAAAGUCGGAUCCCUUUCUUCGAAGAAUUUGGGUAUCCCAGUGUCUUUCAUUCCAGUCGAGCCGUCAUUGUCAUCAUACAUUCAUAAUUAAAUCAUGAGCAUUCAUAAACAUCCUAGGUCAAAAUUGGUGCACUUUUGUAUUUAAGUCUUUCGGCUCGUCGAGUCAAAGAUUUUACCUUCGAAUCUCUGAGCGAAAAAACUUAAAUAGGGGCAUCUGUCAUACCCCAAAUUUUGACCAAAGGUCCCACUGACACACGUCUUCGAACUCGAACCAGACUCACAUUUCAGUGAAAAAUUCGGCAGGGAGGUAUUUUAAAAUACCUCAUUUUGUUUCCGAGUCGGGCCCUCUUCUCUCAGUCUUUAAUUAUUUAUUUCCAUCUUUCAAAUUUUUAGUUUAGAAUUCUAAUUUUAAUUUUUAGUCCAAGAUUAGAUUAAAUUUCUUUUAGUCCCAUUUUAAAUUUUUCUUUUUUAUUUAAAACCAAAAAUGUAGAUAUUAUCCUUUUAUUAUUAAUUUUUUUCUUUUUUUAAUUAAGUCCCAAAAUUGUCCAAAGCCUCAAAAAUGUCCAAAACAGUCCAAGUUCACGCGCAUCAAACACAAACCGUCUUCCUUCAUUCAUCCUCAUCCAAUUUACACAGCCUGUCACACAGAGGCAGUCCCAAUCCAAUUCACGCGCAUCAGUCACAAGUUCAGGAACGGAAAUACCUUUUUCUUCUCCUCAAGCCACAGCUUUUAUGCUCGUAUUUAACAAACCCUAGCCUCAACCUCACUCUAUAAAUAGAGACCUGCACAACACAAAGAAAACACGAAAAAAAACACAGAGAGAGGCGCGCAACACAACAAACACACACGCACAGGAAGCCAUACCACAACACAGAGAGAGGCGCGCAACACAACAAACACACACGCACAGGAAGCAACACCACAACAACAGAUCAAGCACAACUCGACGUGCACACGGAACCAGACACAUACACUACAUCGCAAGCCAGCACCAUAAAUAGAGCCGGAUUCACAAGAGAAAAAGAGGUAGUACUUUCUUUUACCUUUAGAUCUAGGUCUCUGUGUGUACGUUUUCGAAAAUCUAGGUCUAGAACUGAAGAAAGAAAAGGGAGUAGGAGAAGAUAAGCGAAAAAAAAAUGCAAAAAAAAUUAAAUUAGGGUUCCGGCGUGGUGGCGCCGCCGCACUGGCCGGCCAACCACCGCCGGAACCACCAUCCCACCGUCGGAGAAGAAGAGGGAAGAGAGAGGACAGAGAGCUAGAGAGAGAAGGAGGCGGAAGAGAGAGAAGGAGGAAAAGAAAAAUGAGGAAAUUAGGGUUUACACCCUUUAUAUACCUCUCAAAUCCGGGUCGACCCGCCAGGCUUAACCCAUGACCCGCUCCGUCUCUAUCUAGGCCCAAACCUGUUUUUUACUUUCUGCACACCCCAUAAUACUGCUACACCUCCCACCUUGUGAUUGAACCUUUUAUUUAUUUCUUUCAAGUCUUGCAUACAUUUUAUUUAUCGUUUAGCAUUGUAAUUAUUAAUUUAUGUUCUCUCAUGCAUGUUAGAAUGUAAAUUAGGCCUUGAUGUAAAUAAUUUAUUUACUUUUUCUUGUCAUUUAUUUUUUUGCAGACCUUAGAAUGUAAAUAGGUUUUUUUGUAAUAGUUUAGGUGCAUGUGUGCGUGUGUGGGUGUAUGCUCUACUUUUCUGCUUAGGUUAUUACGUUUUAUUUUCUUGCUCCGUUAGUUUAGCAAUUAUUCAAAAAAUAACAAAAACAUGCAAAUAACCAAAAAAUCAUAAAAAUACUUUUUUAUAAUAAACCUUGAUCCUAAAUCAAGUGAUCGUCCUUUUUAUUUUAUUUUCUUAAUCAAAUAUCAAUCAAUUUAACUAUACUUUGAGUCUAUUUUCA
This 20458-nucleotide long non-coding RNA is filed under the name Medicago truncatula (barrel medic). RNAcentral's name for it is "long non-coding RNA (MTRU_LNC008475)". The record is from RNAcentral. Lineage: Eukaryota; Viridiplantae; Streptophyta; Magnoliopsida; Fabales; Fabaceae.